AAUCAACGCUGGCGGCGUGCCUCAGACAUGCAAGUCGAACGAGUUAAAGCUCUCUUCGGAGAGUGUAUAGAGUGGCGCACGGGUGAGUAACACGUAAGUAAUCUACCCUCGAGUGGGGAAUAACGUCCGGAAACGGACGCUAAUACCGCAUAAUGCAGCGGCACCGCAAGGUGACAGUUGUUAAAGGAGAAAUUCGGCUUGAGGAGGAGCUUGCGGCAGGAUUAGCUUGUUGGUAAGGUAACGGCUUACCAAGGCUACGAUCUGUAACCGGUCUUAGAGGACGGUCGGUCACACUGACACUGAAUAACGGGUCAGACUCUACGGGAGGCAGCAGUCGGGAAUUUUGGGCAAUGGGCGAAAGCCUGACCCAGCAACGCCGCGUGAAGGAUGAAGUAUUUCGGUAUGUAAACUUCGAAAGAAUAGGAAGAAUAAAUGACGGUACUAUUUAUAAGGUCCGGCUAACUACGUGCCAGCCGCCGCC
Molecule: ribosomal RNA, 481 nt
Filed under: uncultured bacterium
Lineage: Bacteria
Description: bacterial SSU rRNA
Rfam family: Bacterial small subunit ribosomal RNA
Source: RNAcentral